CUAGGCGCCCUAGGCAGCCUACCUCCACGGACGCGCGGAGCGAGAGAAAGCUUCAGGCGUUCCGUUCAUGGGCCGACUUAGCACGUAACACGUACUUUGCUACAGUCUCUGGUGACAAGGUGACAAGAUGAAUCCUUGCCUCGUUCUCACAAAGCUGUUUACAGUUACGAACUUCAAGCCAAAGUAGGCAGACGGCUUUCAUUCCACUUCAAAAUGGAUCGAGCCACGCUGCUGUUCCUCAUCUUCGCUUGUCUCACGCUGGCAACUCACGGCAACAAUGUGACUGAUUGUCAUGCCGUCAAGUGCGCUUGGAUGGAAGAAAAAAUCUGCCCUGGGGAAUUCUUUCAGAAAGAACCCAGUAUUGGCAAAUGCUGUCCAUUUUGUUUGGUGAUAGUGGAGGGAGGACACUCUUGUAUAUCAACACAUCCUGGCUUCCACAUCGUCUGCAGGAAUCCAUACAAUUGCCAUGAUGGCGUCUGUUCCAAGUUACUUUAAGGAGAAAUAUGUACAUACAUACAGCACUUAUGUUAUAAUCGUAGCAUUUUUUCAAUAAUAUCAUUCAAAAUUAAAAUCUCCUCCAGUUUAAAAA
Long non-coding RNA from Cryptotermes secundus, 589 nucleotides. RefSeq lists it as uncharacterized. The record is from RefSeq and is a predicted model, not a curated record. The transcript is spliced from 3 exons. NCBI's taxonomy places the organism in Eukaryota, Metazoa, Arthropoda, Insecta, Blattodea, Kalotermitidae.